GCGUCGCAGUCCACGGUGAAGGUUCUGAUCCGGCUGCUCAAGGACCUGAGGAUUCGCUUCCCUGGCUUCGAACCGCUCACCCCCUGGAUCCUGGACCUGCUGGGUCACUACGCCGUGAUGAACAACCCCACCCGGCAGCCCCUGGCCCUCAACAUCGCCUACAGGUCUGUGGGGUUUCCAU
Molecule: non-coding RNA, 181 nt
Organism: Zonotrichia albicollis (white-throated sparrow)
Lineage: Eukaryota; Metazoa; Chordata; Aves; Passeriformes; Passerellidae
Source: RefSeq, a predicted model, not a curated record